UUGGGCAAAAGUUUCAAUUUGAUGAUGUGAUUGAAGCUCAACAAUUUGAUAGAGAAACUCUCAGUGCUAUAUUUGAAGUUGCAAGGAGUAUGGAGAAUAUUCGGAACAACUCGUCCGGGAGCCAAAUGCUAAAGGGUUACCUCAUGGCUACAUUGUUUUAUGAACCUUCCACUAGAACUAGGCUUUCAUUUGAAUCUGCCAUGAAAAGAUUAGGUGGGGAUGUUCUCACAACUGAAAAUGCUAGAGAGUUUUCGUCCGUGGCUAAAGGAGAGACGCUCGAAGGUGCGUGCCUGUAGUUUUUUAUUUGGCAAAAUCAAAGUUCAUUAAUGUAGUUUCAUUUCAAAAAAAUUCUGUAAGAAAUUUAUGAAUCUUCAUGUUACUUUGUCUGUUGCAGAUACUAUAAGAACGGUUGAAGGUUACUCUGAUGUAAUUGUGAUGCGGCACUUUGAAAGUGGUGCAGCCAAAAAAGCUGCAGCAACUGCUACCAUUCCAGUAAUCAAUGCAGGCGAUGGCCCGGGACAGCAUCCCACUCAGGUAUGAACGAAUUCUCUGUGAUACAUUUUAGUGCUGCAAAAUUGAAUGUUUCGCAGCGCAAGUCAAUCAGAACGAACAUAGGAUGAUACAUUUUUCUCAGCUAAUAAUGUGUCUAUUACCUUAAGAUAUGUGGAUAGAGAACUUUAAGACUGCAGAACUUGCAUUGCACCACUCCAUCUUCAUUUGUGACAUUGUACAGAAACUUUAUGGCAGUACCCCUUAUUCUGCUGAUGCAAUUAUAAGGGUAUUUGAAACAGAAAAUCAGCUACUUCAUAUAAUUUCUGAGGACAUACUAGUCUCUUAGCUAAAUGUACCUUGAAAUAUACUCUAUUUUUUGGCGCAUACCUUUGUUUACACUUUAUUUGUUAAUGCCGACCCAAUCGAUGUCACAUGUUUGUUGUGACAUUGUACAGAAACUUUAUGGCAGUACCCCUUAUUCUGCUGAUGCAAUUAUAAGGGUAUUUGAAACAGAAAAUCAGCUACUUCAUAUAAUUUCUGAGGACAUACUAGUCUCUUAGCUAAAUGUACCUUGAAAUAUACUCUAUUUUUUGGCGCAUACCUUUGUUUACACUUUAUUUGUUAAUGCCGACCCAAUCGAUGUCACAUGUUUAUCAUGUUUGUUGUCAUGUAUACCACUUAAAACUCUGCUUAUGCUGUGUAUGUAACGAGUCCUACUCUCGGAAAAAAGAGUAUAAUUGUUUUAGGAAGUCAACUGUUGAUGUAAAACUUUGUCCAAUCUAAAGGGCGCACUUCAAGUUGAAAGUGCACCUUUGUUUUCUGUUGGGCAAAAGUUUCAAUUUGAUGAUGUGAUUGAAGCUCAACAAUUUGAUAGAGAAACUCUCAGUGCUAUAUUUGAAGUUGCAAGGAGUAUGGAGAAUAUUCGGAACAACUCGUCCGGGAGCCAAAUGCUAAAGGGUUACCUCAUGGCUACAUUGUUUUAUGAACCUUCCACUAGAACUAGGCUUUCAUUUGAAUCUGCCAUGAAAAGAUUAGGUGGGGAUGUUCUCACAACUGAAAAUGCUAGAGAGUUUUCGUCCGUGGCUAAAGGAGAGACGCUCG
Molecule: long non-coding RNA, 1593 nt
Filed under: Cicer arietinum (chickpea)
Lineage: Eukaryota; Viridiplantae; Streptophyta; Magnoliopsida; Fabales; Fabaceae
Description: long non-coding RNA (CARI_LNC000604)
Source: RNAcentral